Molecule: unclassified non-coding RNA, 1186 nt
Filed under: Hevea brasiliensis (rubber tree)
Lineage: Eukaryota; Viridiplantae; Streptophyta; Magnoliopsida; Malpighiales; Euphorbiaceae
Source: RNAcentral
GUUGGCGAGAAGGGCUAGCGACUUCAGGGGAAAAAGAAUGGUAUUUCUACUGUCCAAGAGACCGUAAAUACAGGAAUAGUGCAAGGCCAAAUCGAGUCACAAGAGCUGGGUUUUGGAAGGCAACUGGAACAGACCGUCCUAUUUGCUCCUCUGAUGGGACCAAGUGCAUAGGCUUGAAGAAGUCCCUGGUCUUCUACAGAGGUAGAGCUGCCAAAGGGAUUAAGACUGAUUGGAUGAUGCAUGAGUUUCGACUACCUUCACCAGCAGAACCAUCACCUCCAAAGAAGCUCCUAGAAAAAAGCCUUCCUCCAAAUGAUGCGUGGGCUAUUUGUAGGAUAUUCAAGAAAACCAACUCUAUGGCACAAAAAGCUCUUAAUUACUCGUGGAUUUCCCAAUUACCAGAUGCUACGGCAUCUGAUAUGCUCAACCAAGGACCUCACUGCACUCAGUUCAGUUCAGAGAACAUUUCCUGCACCACAGAAAUUGGAUCACUUUUCCCAAUAUGCUCUAAUGACUUACAACAAGCCUCUUCUGGGAACUUUUCUGCUUUAGAUAUAUCCUCUUACAAACCUAUUACUAAUACAGUUGACAAGCCAUCUCUAUUUCCUGUUUCAAAUGGAGACCUUCCCAACAACUUCAUGUUUUCACCAAUUGAGAUGUCAGCUCCCACCAAGUGUACUGUUGAUGCUCCUUCUAUGCUAUUGAAUCAUGCGUUAAUUGGUGAUGUUAAUAAAGAUUCUGAAAGUGUAGACUAUGAAGGGUCACAGCACCAGUUCACUGGAUUCUCAAUCUGUUUACCCCAAGUUACACAAGUUAAUAUGGGUGCAGAAGAAGAUGAAGCAGGCUUGAGGAAUAAUCCCAGCGAAAUCCAUGAUAAUAGCCAGUGGGGGACCAUGCGAUCCAUUGGAUUCCCCUUCAGUUUGCCCUCAAAUCUACCAGAUGCAUGGAAGUCUAAUCUGUCAUGGGAUUCACCACCCUGUCCUAGUGAGAUGUCCUCCAAUUAUUCCACAAACAAAUGCUAUACUUAAAUCCAAUUAACUAGAGAGGAAAUGGGAUUUAGGUAUAGCAUUUUGCCUGUAUAUCCUGCUUUGGGUGAAUAUUUGGAGAUAGACUCUAAAUUAUAUCAUGUUUGCUAUGUUAUUGUACAGUUUUGAUAUAUUCCAUUCACACUCACUUUCUUAUUUAU